This 201-nucleotide ribosomal RNA is filed under the name uncultured prokaryote. RNAcentral describes it as "partial 16S ribosomal RNA". It matches the Rfam family "Bacterial small subunit ribosomal RNA", at positions 524 to 724 of the family's 1533-position model. The record is from RNAcentral.
GACGUAGGGGGCCAGCGUUGCUCGGAAUUACUGGGUGUAAAGGGUUCGUAGGCGGUGUGGCAAGUCGGGAGUGAAAUCUCUGGGCUCAACCCAGAGUCUGCUUCCGAAACUGCUGUGCUUGAGUGUGGGAGAGGCGCGUGGAAUUGCAGGUGUAGCGGUGAAAUGCGCAGAGAUCGGGAGGAACACCCGUAGCGAAGGCGG